UUCUUAUCCAGAGAGGUGGAGGGACUGGCCCUAUGAAACUUCGGCAGCGGAUUCUUUUCAUUAGAGAAUGCUGUGCCAAUUCCAGCAAGCUUUAUAGCUUGGAAGAUAAGAA
This 112-nucleotide non-coding RNA is filed under the name Sporanaerobacter sp. PP17-6a. RNAcentral describes it as "SAM riboswitch aptamer (S box leader)". It matches the Rfam family "SAM riboswitch aptamer (S box leader)". From Rfam's summary of the family: The SAM riboswitch is found upstream of a number of genes which code for proteins involved in methionine or cysteine biosynthesis in Gram-positive bacteria. The SAM riboswitch acts at the level of transcription termination control. The record is from Rfam by way of RNAcentral. Lineage: Bacteria; Bacillati; Bacillota; Tissierellia; Tissierellales; Sporanaerobacteraceae. RNAcentral also lists the same sequence under 1 other name.